CAUCAGCUUCAUUAUUUGAUCUUCUAUUUCUUUGCGUGUUUGGCGGUUGGUUUAUCUUCCCAUAAAUGAAAUUCAUAUCUUCCAACAUGAACAAGAUUUCAGAGCCACUGUUCUGCAAAGGAGCUUCUCUGAACUCUUCAGUACCGUCAAAUACAGAACUCUGAAAUCUAAAUCUAUGAUUUUCCAGUAACCACCGACGAUGCCCCAUGUAAGAGAACUUCUUCCCAUUGUACAACCAUUGCGAACAUGUUUGUGCAGCACAACAAGG
Molecule: long non-coding RNA, 268 nt
Filed under: Gossypium barbadense (sea-island cotton)
Lineage: Eukaryota; Viridiplantae; Streptophyta; Magnoliopsida; Malvales; Malvaceae
Description: long non-coding RNA (GBAR_LNC015125)
Source: RNAcentral